CUACGCUGCGAUAAGCCGUGGGGAGCUGCGAAGAAGCUUUGAUCCACGGAUUUCCGAAUGGGGAAACCCACCUUCGAUAGCCGGAACUCCAAGACCUCAGGUUUUGGGGCUGACCAGAAAUGAUCGGAACUGGAAUCUCGAGAGAGGUUUUGGAUUUCCGGUUAUCAAGCGAAGGUAUGAGACUUCUGAAUAAAAUAGGAGGUUUCAAGCAAACCCAGGGAACUGAAACAUCUAAGUACCUGGAGGAAAGGACAUCAACAGAGACUCCGCUAGUAGUGGCGAGCGAACGCGGACCAGGCCAGUGACACAUCAGAGACAACCAGAACCUGUCAGGAAAGCAGGGCCUCAGAGGGUGAUAGCCCCGUAUGGGUAACGCAAUGAUGUGUCCUUGAGUAAGGCGGGACACGUGCAAUCCUGUCUGAACGCGGGGGGACCACCCUCCAAGCCUAAGUACUCCUCAGCGACCGAUAGU
RNAcentral lists this ribosomal RNA (472 nucleotides) under Bradyrhizobium sp. tachi3c.2. RNAcentral describes it as "bacterial LSU rRNA". It matches the Rfam family "Bacterial large subunit ribosomal RNA", at positions 61 to 491 of the family's 2925-position model. The record is from RNAcentral. Lineage: Bacteria; Pseudomonadati; Pseudomonadota; Alphaproteobacteria; Hyphomicrobiales; Nitrobacteraceae.